AAAGCGCGUCAAAUAUGGC
Molecule: unclassified non-coding RNA, 19 nt
Filed under: Chlamydomonas reinhardtii
Lineage: Eukaryota; Viridiplantae; Chlorophyta; Chlorophyceae; Chlamydomonadales; Chlamydomonadaceae
Description: small RNA Cre_0026
Source: RNAcentral